RNAcentral lists this ribosomal RNA (101 nucleotides) under Acanthosepion pharaonis. Lineage: Eukaryota; Metazoa; Mollusca; Cephalopoda; Sepiida; Sepiidae. The record is from RNAcentral.
CACGUUGAAACACCGGUUCCCGUACGAUCCCCGAAGUUAAGCAACGUUGAGUCUGGUCAGUACUUAGAUGGGUGAACGCUUGAGAAUACCAGGUGCUGUAA